CUACCACUUCAUCAUCACUACUGCUGUUACCACCACCAUUUGCUGCUCCAUUCAAGUUGAUAUCAUCCAUCAUCUCAGAUGGUGAGGUGCUCAUAGGUGCCGCACCAAUUCUAUCAUCUUGGAAAGCAAACCAGUUGGAAUUCGUAAAUAAACUGCUGUAGCAUAGGAAACAAACACAUUGGAAAUUCCAACAAAAUUAGAUACAAACUAACAAUCUGAAGUUUGUCAUAUGCUGAGCUAUCAACACACUACUAGGACGGGGGAGGGGGGAGUAGAUAUCGAUGUGAAUCUCAGGUAUAUAUAAACCCCAAAUGAUAGUUAAACACCAUCCAACAAAGAAAUACUUGUCAUUCAGCCCUACUUGCCGACAUCAUUUCACUAAUUUCAAGUAUGCUCCUAAAUGGCAACGAACAAGACUCACCUGCCUUGAUCAUCACCGAGCCUCAGGGAUGAUAUUACAACUUCAGCAGAUUCAUCAUCAAAAUAAGCACCCUGCGUAAUAAAUAAAAAAAAAUUAACAGAUUUCAUUAAACACUUAUUUUUUAAAUUUUUAAUUUUUUGGCCCAAGAAUAUUUAUAGAAUGGAAAGAUGAUCAAGAAUCUUUGUUCCUCACAUAUUUUUCCAUUAAAAAAUUUAAACGCAUGUGUAGUCACCCUUCAAAUUUUCAUCCAUUAUAUGGAGGGAACUGAGUACAUUUAUUAAGAAAAUUGCAGAAUAUAAUAUUACCUCGUCAUCGCGUUCAAGAGCUCCAUGGCCCUGCAAUUAGGAUGACCAGCAUGAGAUAAAUCAUAUUAAUACAAAAAGGAAAAAAGAUACAGAUAUACAGAGGGAGAGGGAUAAAAAUAAAAAUAAAUUUAACAAAAUAAUCCAUAUCAAUUGUAUUAGAAAGAGGAAAGAGAUUUAUUUAACAAAGUUGAGAUAAAAUCUUGAAACUCUCAUAUCAAUUGUAAAGAUUAUGUAUGUAUAAUAUAUGAAAAUAGAAAAUAUAUGAUGUGUAUGUGUUACUGUUAAUAUAUGAUUAUGCAUGUAUAAUAUAUGAAAUUACUGUUAAUUUUUGAAAAUAUAUAAAAGAUUACAUGUUAAGGGUAUGGGAGAGUUUAAUAAAUAAAAGAAAAUAAGAUUACUGUUAAAGUUUGACAAUUGGAUGUUUACUUUUGAAUCGGUUAACGUAAAGUUGUGAAUAAAGGAAGAAAAAGACAAGUAAAUAAGUAGAAGUUGGACGGUGUGCAUUGAAAAGAACGAAGCAGAAGUCUGAGCACACUAAUUUUAUUAUUUUAAUAAUAUAGUAUAACUUUUAUAAAUUAAUAUUUGAUAAAUUAAUAAAUUUUUUUAAAUAAUAUUUUUUUCAGUCUCAGCUUUGGCUAAUGGAAUAAAUUAAUAAUUUUAAUAAAAUAAUAAUUUUUAAAAGACUUAUAUAAAUAUAUUGUAAGACCCCAACUUUUAUAAAUAAAAUAUUUACUUUAAAUUUGGUAGAAUUGAGGAGAAGACAAGACAUGAAAACAAAAAGCAAGCAAUAUAUUUUAAAAAAGAGUUUUGUGGUCAUGUGUGGUAGGACAAGCAAUAUAUUGUAUCUUCAUCACUUUGCUGACCAUUGUAUGUAUAAUAUAUGAUUAUGAUUAUGUGUUUAGACUAAUAAACUACUAUAGGAAAUACUAAGAUAGAUGUGUAUAUAUGACAUAGUAAUUACAAAUGGGAGAUUCUCAACAAGGAAAUAACAAAGGAAAGGGAAAAAAUGUUGGAACUUAUAAUUCGUGGACAUUAGAAGAGAGCAAUGAGUUGCUACAACUCAUGGUUGAUGCUGCAGUUCGUGGAUGGCGUGAUAGUAAUGGAAUGCUAAGUAAGCAAACAGUUGAGAAAAAGAUACUUCUUGCUCUUAAUCAAAAAUUUGGCUGCCAAAGAACAUACUCACAGUACCUAAGUCAACUGAAAUGGUUUAAGAAUCGUUAUCUUGUUUUUCAUUUUAUUUAUUUGAUCUUAGAUCCUACAUUUCAUAAUAAUUUUUUAAAUGGCAUAUAAUUAGGAAAAUUUUUCUUGGUGGAUUGUAGAUUUCCAAAUCGGCGCCAAUUUUUAGCUCCUUUUCGAGGUGUUCGAUAUCAUCUUCAAGAUUUUGCUGGCCAGGGUCGUGACCCCGAAAAUGUAAUCGAGUUGUUCAAUCUUCGUCAUGCUUCCUUAAGGAACGUGAUUAAGAGAAUAUUUGGUAUAUUUAAAUCGAGAUUCACAAUUUUCAAGUCUGCACCUCCAUUUCCUUAUAAAACUCAAGCUGAGCUUGUACUAACUUGUGUAGGACUCCACAAUUUUCUUCGUAAGGAGUGUCAUUCAGAUGAAUUUCCUAUUGAACUAGAUAACGAGUCUUCACUAUCUUCAUCGUUACCACUCAAUCAAUGAGAUAAUUUGGAACAAGUUUUUGAAACUCAAGAGCAACAACGAGAGAAUGCUAAUGAAUGGAGGACUAGUAUAGCUUCUGACACUUGUUAGUGGUUUGCUCACAUGUAUGAAGUUUUGCAACUUUUGACAUAUAGAUUUUUAUUGUCAUAUUAUUUUGUGAAAAACAGAGUUUGGUAUUCCUACUAAAAUGAGAUUUACUUUAGUUCAUGAAAAAAGAGAGAGAUGUUGUACACAUGGGCUAAUUAACAAUUAAUAUAAGUUGCAAGAUAUAUUAGAAGUAUACAAAAGUCUAUCACAAUCUUGAUAAAAAGUUUAUAAAAGUUUGUUACUUAUUUCAUAGAGUCUAUAAAAGUCAUUUUAAAAGAGUCUUUAAAGUCUUUGAAAGUCAUUAAAAUCCCACAAAUUCUACAAAAGUAUGUCACAUAAAAAAAGUCUUUAAAAAUCCUAAUUGAAUACACCCCCCUUAAUGUGAGAAUUACCCCAUAAUUUUUUCCUAACAUGUUGUACGUGAAGGGUAGGAAAUGUAGUGAAAUGAUUAUCAUAUACCAUAAAUCCCAGUUUGGUUACCAUUUUUAUUUUUUCUUGUUUUGAUAUUUAUUUCCACCUUUUGUUUUCUAAAGUUGUACUUACAUUUGAAGUGCACAAACUCUCUAAAAUGUAUUUCAUAUUAGGUGAAUUUCAUCACUUAUAAAACAUUUCAUAUUUUCAUUGUCAUGGCCGGCAGCAUAUAUUAAUGGUGUCUCUAGUUAGAAUAUGAUUUUUGUGGUCAUAUGAGUCCAGAAGCAUUAUUAAUCUUUGACUUUAUUGGAAUGGCUUUUUGCUGUUGUAGAAUGAAUUCCCCCACUUGCUGAUCUUUGGUUCAAACGGCAUCCAAAAAUUGUAACUUUAAUUGAUGUGGUGCGUGUAGUGGGGUUUGUUAGUUGGACUAAGGGGCCUAAUUCUUGUAAUUACCUAUUUUAUUAUUUUAUAUGAAGGAGCCUACACUGAAUUAAUUAUUUAUGUUUUCAUUUUUUUGCAGGAUAUUUUAAGAAAAUCUGAUAUUUCUGUAUGCUAAAAUGAUAUUUGUAUGAGUCUCUCACGUGAAGGUGAAGGUGAGACCAACUCGAUUUCACAUAAAAGUGGAAUCCACUCGAUCUCACAUAAAACUUGAAAAUCCAAAAGCUGGUCUUAUGUGAGUUUGAGAACAUAUUUGACCAUCCCCAUAUUUGACAAAACCCUUCAUUAAAUUUAUAUUCACAAUAAAUAGUUCUAUGUCAUGCUUUUUAUUUUCGUUAGUAAAAACAAAAACAUUGGUUCAAGUAUAUAUAAUAUUCAAGUGAAUUUUUAGAACAUUGACAAAAUAGGAGAGGAUCCUAAUGAAGAGGAACCAAGUCUCCAUAUAACAAUACAAUUGCAACUGCAUUAGACUUGAUCAAAUAUAUCAAUAAAUUGCAGAUGAAAAAACACUCCAAAAUUAUCUAUUACAUUUUGUUAGUAUUAUAUCUAAAUGCACCUCCCUUGAUAAUAGAAUCCUCUUAUAUAUGACCCAAAAAUACAUAGAAAAAUAAUAUAUACUGCGAAUAUUUAUAUUGAUUGUUUGAUUACCAAUUAUAUGGAUAAAUUUUAGUGAUAAUUUUUUUUUUUUAAAAAUGUGUAAUAAGUGGGGUUCUUCUANNNNNNNNNNNNNNNNNNNNNNNNNNNNNNNNNNNNNNNNNNNNNNNNNNNNNNNNNNNNNNNNNNNNNNNNNNNNNNNNNNNNNNNNNNNNNNNNNNNNUCACAAAUAUAUAUAUAUAUAUAUAUAUAUAUAUAUAUAUAUAUAUAUAUAUAUAUAUUAUAUUGAAAAAUUAAUUUCCUUGGAUUUAUCCUGUCAAAUUUACAUAAUCACUAAUUUUUUACUGAAAAAAAUAUAUUAUCAAUGUAUCAAAUUUAAAUUUAAAUUUAAAUAUUAAACUCGUACCAAAUAAAAGCUUAACCUUAUCUAAUAUAUAAGGGCGAAGGAUAAUUUUAUGAUAAAUAAAGUUUUAUGAUAGUAAUAUUUUUAAAUUUUAUUUCAUCCCUAAAUAAUUUGUUUGCCUAGACUAGACUAGACUAGUGUCAGUUAAGAAGAAGGUGGAGGUACAAGGCAAAGUCUUAACCAUAUAUAUAAAUAGUAAAGUUGAUAGGAAAGCAAACGACGACAGAGAUUUGUAGCUUCCGUGCGGCGGAGCUGUUGUAUGUAGGUCACAUUCCUACGUGUACGGUCAAGAUUCCUUUUGUCAGUUUCCUAUAAUUAUAUCUGCACAAAAGUUGUCUACAUUUCUUGACAACUUCUCACAUAUAGUAUAGGUCCCAUUUAUUAUUUACAUCACAAAAAUCUUAUAAAUUUUAGUAAUGAUUAUAUUGACAGAGUAAUAAAUAUCCUUAAAUGUUGUAAAAAUAUCAUUAAAUACAUAUUUGUUUUGAAAGCAUAAAUAUUACUCUAACAAGGAUGGCCUAAUACAAUUAAUAUUUUAUCUAAUGACUUCAAUCUUAUUAACUAUGUUCGGAGGAUCUCAACCGUGACAGUCCUAAAAUAGUUAAUAUGAAGCUGAUAUUUCUGUGUAAAAAUGAUAUUUUAACACUCUCUCACAACUAACUCACCGUACAUAAAAAAUUAUGUAAAAAAUAAUUAUGUGAUUCUCUAAUUUAUAUUUAUAUUUUUGAAUGAUUAUAUAUACAUGAAAUAUAAAUAGUAGUACAAAACUAUUUAACUAUUUAUAUUUAUGAGGACCUCUAAUCACAUGAUAUCUACCCAAAUUCAUUUGAGAUUACUCUUAAAACAAUUGACAAGCAUUUUGAGACAUUUGAAGGUUCCACACAUCUUUUUUGGCCUUCUUCUAGAGCGAGUGCCUUGAAGUUCAUCUUCACGAGGCCUCUGUAAUGAAUGAUACAUUUUGGCAGCCGCAUCUUGUUCAUCUACAUGAUGCUGUUAGAUUGCCAAUAUGAUGUUGAGUACUAUCGGACAAUAAUUUGGAUUUUAAUAUUAUUAUUAUUAUUAUUAUUGCUGAAUGAGACUUGUGAUUACCAAACAAACACAUGCAACAAUAAAUUAACCAUAUUCAGGCUAAUGCAAGAAAUAGUAUAAUUACAGAAUAAAUACAGAAGUAAACUCGCAAAUUAAAUCUCAAACUGCAAAAUAAGAACCUAAAUAAGUGUCGCAAUAAAUAAUCAGUAACAACCAUAGCAUAAGCCUAAAGCUAGUUAAUAACAAUAUUGAAACAAAAAUACUGUACAUAUAUGUCUGCUGUGGAAGACCACUGAACAGAAAUGGCAGAUGGGCCACAACCUACCACCAUAUCAAUCAAACUUUGAGGUCAAACAACCAAACACAAGUAACCAAUUUUUACUCCAAUACUGCAACCUCUUGAUCAACCCUCCAGUAGUUGGCAUCAUUAAAUUCUUUCAUUCCCACCCCCCUGUCGUCUGAAUUCUCCUUCUCCGGCAUCUUUGGAACAAUGUUCCUUUUCAAUGGCCCUGCUUCCCCAACAAUGCCCUCCUUCAGGGCCUGGUUCAUUGCCUUCUCCGUGCCCUCUAAUUCAACCCCGACAAAUUCAACAUCUUCUUCAAACAAGGAGGGAACUGCGGCUGCCCUUUGGCUUGAAUCAGAUCCUAACAACCCGUCUUUAGAAUUUGUGCUAGUUGAGGUACCAUUCCGUAAAAUUCCUCCGCUUGAAGUGGAACUAAUGGGUGCGGGCUCUGCCUCAACGCUGGAGUUAUAAUCCUCAAAUGGGUUCACACUUGAUCCAACUGUGAAAUCAGAUGACUCACCCCAUCCCACCCAUUCAGGUAUAGGCCUAUCUCCAAACAGAUCAUCACUGGCAGCUGUUUCAAACCGGAAGAAGCCUGUGUCACCAUAAGGACUAGGCUUCUCAUUUUGGGGAUCCAAGUCUCCGGUAUUUAUUGAUGUAGUCCGGUUAAGUCCAUUUUCGGUGUUGUUGGAACUGGAUGUAACAAUAGCAGGGCUUUUGCUUUCAGCCAACUCCUCGUCCUCCCCAACUACCACUUCAUCAUCACUACUGCUGUUACCACCACCAUUUGCUGCUCCAUUCAAGUUGAUAUCAUCCAUCAUCUCAGAUGGUGAGGUGCUCAUAGGUGCCGCACCAAUUCUAUCAUCUUGGAAAGCAAACCAGUUGGAAUUCGUAAAUAAACUGCUGUAGCAUAGGAAACAAACACAUUGGAAAUUCCAACAAAAUUAGAUACAAACUAACAAUCUGAAGUUUGUCAUAUGCUGAGCUAUCAACACACUACUAGGACGGGGGAGGGGGGAGUAGAUAUCGAUGUGAAUCUCAGGUAUAUAUAAACCCCAAAUGAUAGUUAAACACCAUCCAACAAAGAAAUACUUGUCAUUCAGCCCUACUUGCCGACAUCAUUUCACUAAUUUCAAGUAUGCUCCUAAAUGGCAACGAACAAGACUCACCUGCCUUGAUCAUCACCGAGCCUCAGGGAUGAUAUUACAACUUCAGCAGAUUCAUCAUCAAAAUAAG
This 6866-nucleotide long non-coding RNA is filed under the name Panax ginseng (ginseng). RNAcentral describes it as "long non-coding RNA (PGIN_LNC002126)". The record is from RNAcentral. Lineage: Eukaryota; Viridiplantae; Streptophyta; Magnoliopsida; Apiales; Araliaceae.